RNAcentral lists this ribosomal RNA (850 nucleotides) under uncultured bacterium. RNAcentral describes it as "bacterial SSU rRNA". It matches the Rfam family "Bacterial small subunit ribosomal RNA", at positions 518 to 1378 of the family's 1533-position model. The record is from RNAcentral.
CGGUAAUACAGAGACCUCAAGCGUUACCCGGAAUUAUUGGGCGUAAAGCGUCCGCAGGCGGUCAGCUAAGUCAGGCAUUAAAUCCUGAAGCUUAACUUCAGGGCCGUGUCUGAAACUGGUUGGCUAGAGGGAAGGAGAGGCACAUGGAAUUCCCGGUGUAGGGGUUACAUCCGUUAAUAUCGGGGAGAACACCAUUAGCGAAGGCGAUGUGCUGGACUUCUCCUGACGCUCAGGGACGAAAGCGUGGGUAGCGAAUGGAAUUAGAUACUCCAGCAGUCCACGCCCUAAACGCUGGAUGCUAGACAUGAGAAGUUCGACCCUUCUCGUGUCCGAAGUUAACACGUUAAGCAUCCCGCCUGGGAAGUACGGCCGCAAGGCUAAAACUCAAAGGAAUUGACGGGGACCCGCACAAGCGGUGGAGCAUAUGGUUUAAUUCGUAGCCAAGCGUAGAACCUUACCAGGGCUUGACAUCCUUCGAACCCCGCAGAAACGCGGGGGUGCCGCAAGGAACGAAGUGACAGGUGCUGCAUGGCUGUCGUCAGCUCGUGUCGUGAGAUGUUGGGUUAAGUCCUCUAACGAGCGCAACCCCUAUUGUAUGUUUGUUUUAUCAUGCAAGACUGCCCCGGUAUAACGGGGAGGAAGGUGGGGAUGACGUCAAGUCAGCAUGGCCCUUACGUCCUGGGCGACACGUAUGCUACAAUGGGAAGUACAAAGAGACGCCAAGUCGCAAGACGGAGCUAAUCUCAUCAAAACUUCUCUAAGUUCGGAUUGGAGGCUGCAACUCGCCUCCAUGAAGCUGGAAUCGCUAGUAACCGUGGGUCAGCCACACCACGGUGAAUACGUCCUCGGG